CGAGAUCGCACCACUGCACUCCAGCUUGGGGAACAAAGUAAGACUCUGUCUCAAAACAAACAAACAAACAAAACCCCAAACAACUACAACCAAAAAACAGCAGUCAAGAGAGUUGUGCUUUUUGUGGAGGAAGGUGCGAAGCCAGUGAAAUUGAAAAUAACUCACAGGACUCUGGUGUCAUCUCCUGUCAGCCUUUGGUUGAAAGCACUUGGAAACUUGGGUGGCUGAUAUUCUCCAGAGGCAGAAAAAUGUUCCCAGCCGAGAGAGGCCAUCUCCAGCAGGUCCUGAGUGUCAGGAAUUCAGAUUCUCUGCCCCACUCCUGCUGGAUAGGAGGACACUUCCACUAGAACCUGGGCCUGGCCCCUUUCCAGUUUUCUGCUGGGAGUCCGGAUUCUGGUGCUUUGCUCCGAAGCAGUGCCCGUGGGCCUCCGGGCCUGGCUCAUCAUCACAGCUUCUCUGCUCAGUGAGGAGACCAUCAUUGUGCUGCUUUUCUGAUGCCUUCCAUUUGCCUUUUUCUCCACUUGGGAAAAACAAAAAAAGCUAGUAUGCUACAUCCUGAAAAGUUGUUAAUCCUUCACCACCACAUACAUUGAAAAAUCAGUUCCUGCCGGGAAGUACCACUAAAGGCAUAUUGUAAACUUUUUUUCUAAUUGGAAAGGUAAACUUUUUUCCCCCAUAACUAUUUUUCGUGUGAAGGAAGUAACUGACCUCUUGAGUCAGAGAUGGCACUCGAGUUUUUCCCCAUGGGUCUUGCCUGCUACACUCCUGGCCACCCUUUCUGUGGGGCUUGACCAAAUGGACCACACUGGCCAGCCUGACAAACCCACCAGAACCAAAAGAAAAGCUGGAUGUGGGAAAGGGCUGAAGAACUCCACGUGUCUAAAGGGCAAAGAGAUCCUGGGUUGAGAAGAGGAGUUUCAGAUUUCCAAUGGAGAAAGAGAGGCGGAGGUUGCAGUGAGCCGAGAUCGUAACACUGCACUCGAGCCUGAUGACAGUGAGACCCUG
RNAcentral lists this long non-coding RNA (1005 nucleotides) under Homo sapiens (human). RNAcentral describes it as "HSALNT0287978". Lineage: Eukaryota; Metazoa; Chordata; Mammalia; Primates; Hominidae. The record is from RNAcentral.